RNAcentral lists this ribosomal RNA (478 nucleotides) under uncultured bacterium. Its description in RNAcentral is "partial 16S ribosomal RNA". It matches the Rfam family "Bacterial small subunit ribosomal RNA", at positions 28 to 523 of the family's 1533-position model. The record is from RNAcentral.
GACGAACGCUGGCGGCGUGCUUAACACAUGCAAGUCGAACGGUAAGGCCCUUCGGGGUACACGAGUGGCGAGCGGGUGAGUAACACGUGGGUGAUCUGCCCUGCACUUCGGGAUAAGCCUGGGAAGCUGGGUCUAAUACCGGAUAGGACCCUGGGAUGCAUGUCCUGGGGUGGAAAGCUUUUGCGGUGUGGGAUGGGCCCGCGGCCUAUCAGCUUGUUGGUGGGGUGAUGGCCUACCAAGGCGACGACGGGUAGCCGGCCUGAGAGGGUGACCGGCCACACUGGGACUGAGAUACGGCCCAGACUCCUACGGGAGGCAGCAGUGGGGAAUAUUGCACAAUGGGCGCAAGCCUGAUGCAGCGACGCCGCGUGAGGGAUGACGGCCUUCGGGUUGUAAACCUCUUUCAGCACCGACGAAGCGCAAGUGACGGUAGGUGCGGAAGAAGGACCGGCCAACUACGUGCCAGCCGCCGCGGUAA